CAGUCGCCGCGGUAAUACGGAGGGUGCAAGCGUUAAUCGGAAUUACUGGGCGUAAAGCGCACGCAGGCGGUCUGUCAAGUCGGAUGUGAAAUCCCCGGGCUCAACCUGGGAACUGCAUUCGAAACUGGCAGGCUGGAGUCUUGUAGAGGGGGGUAGAAUUCCAGGUGUAGCGGUGAAAUGCGUAGAGAUCUGGAGGAAUACCGGUGGCGAAGGCGGCCCCCUGGACAAAGACUGACGCUCAGGUGCGAAAGCGUGGGGAGCAAACAGGAUUAGAUACCCCAGUAGUCCCUGUCUCUUAUAC
This 301-nucleotide ribosomal RNA is filed under the name uncultured bacterium. RNAcentral's name for it is "partial 16S ribosomal RNA". It matches the Rfam family "Bacterial small subunit ribosomal RNA", at positions 509 to 807 of the family's 1533-position model. The record is from RNAcentral.